GAUGAACGCUGGCGGCGUGCCUAAUACAUGCAAGUCGAGCGAACGGACGAGAAGCUUGCUUCUCUGAUGUUAGCGGCGGACGGGUGAGUAACACGUGGAUAACCUACCUAUAAGACUGGGAUAACUUCGGGAAACCGGAGCUAAUACCGGAUAAUAUUUUGAACCGCAUGGUUCAAAAGUGAAAGACGGUCUUGCUGUCACUUAUAGAUGGAUCCGCGCUGCAUUAGCUAGUUGGUAAGGUAACGGCUUACCAAGGCAACGAUGCAUAGCCGACCUGAGAGGGUGAUCGGCCACACUGGAACUGAGACACGGUCCAGACUCCUACGGGAGGCAGCAGUAGGGAAUCUUCCGCAAUGGGCGAAAGCCUGACGGAGCAACGCCGCGUGAGUGAUGAAGGUCUUCGGAUCGUAAAACUCUGUUAUUAGGGAAGAACAUAUGUGUAAGUAACUGUGCACAUCUUGACGGUACCUAAUCAGAAAGCCACGGCUAACUACGUGCCAGCAGCCGCGGUAAUACGUAGGUGGCAAGCGUUAUCCGGAAUUAUUGGGCGUAAAGCGCGCGUAGGCGGUUUUUUAGUCUGAUGUGAAAGCCCACGGCUCAACCGUGGAGGGUCAUUGGAAACUGGAAAACUUGAGUGCAGAAGAGGAAAGUGGAAUUCCAUGUGUAGCGGUGAAAUGCGCAGAGAUAUGGAGGAACACCAGUGGCGAAGGCGACUUUCUGGUCUGUAACUGACGCUGAUGUGCGAAAGCGUGGGGAUCAAACAGGAUUAGAUACCCUGGUAGUCCACGCCGUAAACGAUGAGUGCUAAGUGUUAGGGGGUUUCCGCCCCUUAGUGCUGCAGCUAACGCAUUAAGCACUCCGCCUGGGGAGUACGACCGCAAGGUUGAAACUCAAAGGAAUUGACGGGGACCCGCACAAGCGGUGGAGCACGUGGUUUAAUUCGAAGCAACGCGAAGAACCUUACCAAAUCUUGACAUCCUUUGACAACUCUAGAGAUAGAGCUUUCCCCUUCGGGGGACAAAGUGACAGGUGGUGCAUGGUUGUCGUCAGCUCGUGUCGUGAGAUGUUGGGUUAAGUCCCGCAACGAGCGCAACCCUUAAGCUUAGUUGCCAUCAUUAAGUUGGGCACUCUAAGUUGACUGCCGGUGACAAACCGGAGGAAGGUGGGGAUGACGUCAAAUCAUCAUGCCCCUUAUGAUUUGGGCUACACACGUGCUACAAUGGACAAUACAAAGGGCAGCGAAACCGCGAGGUCAAGCAAAUCCCAUAAAGUUGUUCUCAGUUCGGAUUGUAGUCUGCAACUCGACUACAUGAAGCUGGAAUCGCUAGUAAUCGUAGAUCAGCAUGCUACGGUGAAUACGUUCCCGGGUCU
RNAcentral lists this ribosomal RNA (1371 nucleotides) under uncultured bacterium. Its description in RNAcentral is "bacterial SSU rRNA". It matches the Rfam family "Bacterial small subunit ribosomal RNA", at positions 28 to 1381 of the family's 1533-position model. The record is from RNAcentral.